ACACCGCCCGUCACACCAUGGGAGUGGGUUGCAAAAGAAGUAGGUAGCUUAACCUUCGGGAGGGCGCUUACCACUUUGUGAUUCAUGACUGGGGGGAAGUCGUAACAAGGUAACCGUAGGGGAACCUGCGGUUGGAUCACCUCCUUACCUUAAAGAA
This 157-nucleotide ribosomal RNA is filed under the name Escherichia coli. Its description in RNAcentral is "partial 16S ribosomal RNA". It matches the Rfam family "Bacterial small subunit ribosomal RNA", at positions 1387 to 1533 of the family's 1533-position model. The record is from RNAcentral. Lineage: Bacteria; Pseudomonadati; Pseudomonadota; Gammaproteobacteria; Enterobacterales; Enterobacteriaceae.